Cristinia sonorae is the source of this 98-nucleotide non-coding RNA. NCBI's taxonomy places the organism in Eukaryota, Fungi, Basidiomycota, Agaricomycetes, Agaricales, Stephanosporaceae. The record is from the annotation of a GenBank genome assembly.
UCCCGCUUAGCUCAGUUGGUAGAGCGCGUCACUAGUAUUCACGUGAACAUGUUUAUGUAAUAAUGACGAGGUCAGUCGUUCGAGUCGCCUAGAGGGAA